Molecule: long non-coding RNA, 1825 nt
Filed under: Calidris pygmaea (Spoon-billed sandpiper)
Lineage: Eukaryota; Metazoa; Chordata; Aves; Charadriiformes; Scolopacidae
Description: lncRNA (ENSCPGG00000000904.1)
Source: RNAcentral
CUAGUGCCCGAGAUUGUUGGUUUGUGGGUGGGUGUGAUGUGGUGGGGCGUUGUGUUUUUUGUUUUGUUGUUGGGGUUUUUUUUGGGAGGUGGUGUUUUUCUUUUUUUUUUUUUUUUUUUUGAGGUUGGACUCAGUGAUCUCAGAGGUCCCUUCCAACCGUGGUGAUUCUGUGAUUCUGUGCAUCCAUUUGCUACGUAAGCAAAUUGCUUACCUUACCUUUGUCAUCUCAGUCAGGCCUAAGUUGCUUGUAUUAGUUGUUGUGGAGAAUGCUAGAUAACCUCAUUUACCUGUGAAGGCAAAAAUGCCCUACCUAGCAUCUGUCAUAGCAGCAGUUUAAUCACAAAAGCUAGAGCUCUUCAUAAGCUAUUGCCACUGUUUAAAUGAUUUUGUAUUCCAGAAAGCUGAUUUGGACGUCAUUCCUCCUAUGUAUUACUCUUUGGCUAAUAAUAUGCUCUGUUGUUAGAAAUGAUUCCAGGCUGCAGGGAGCAAAUUUCUAUUGACCGCCAGGGAAAUUCAGAUCCAGACUUGGACUUUGAAACUAAUUGCACUUUUAAAUUACAAGUAAAAAAAAGUGAAAAAAAGCAACAGUUAAAAGCAUGUGAUGGGAAUAGAAACGAGCACAUCUAUCUGAACGUGAAACACAGCCCUUCUUCCAAGAAAGAGAUGAUGAGAAGACAAACAACAGAGGAGAACAAGAACAUCAAGAACAAAGAUUCUCCUGUGUCACGUACUACCUGCUGGAUUAUCACAGUCACCCUAGUGAUCCUCUUCUUGGCAGUGCUGGGGACAGUAGUGGGUUUUAUUAUCAAGGGUAAAUUUCACUGAAUUUCACUGAAUUUCACUGAAUUUUUAGAGUUGGAAGGGACCAUAGAGAUCAUCUAGUCCAACUCCCCUGCUGAAGCAGGAUUGCCUAGAGCUAGAGCAUGUUACUCAGGACAGUGUCCAGGUGGGUCUUGAAAAUCUCCAAGGAAGGGGACUCCACACCCUCCCUGGGCAGCCUGUUCCAGGGCUCUGUCACCCUCACCGUGAAGAAGUUUCUCCUCAUAUUUGAGUGGAACCUCUUAUGUUCCAACUUAUGCCCGUUGCCCCUCGUCCUCUCGCUGGGAACCACUGAAAAGAGUCUGGCUCUUCUUUCAAUCUCCUCCAUUGAAAACAUUGGAUUUGAAUUUAGAGCUUCGUCAGGGAGCCAAACAGAGCUCUUGAAAUCCGCUCAGGGGUCCAAGAAAAGCAUGGAAGUACCUUUUAUCCAUUAAUAAGGCUUGCUUCUUUUUUUUCUGAGAUUUUUAAUUGUUAAGCUUGGUCUAGUUAGACCUGCCCUCAGAAUGAACAAGAAAGUAAGGGGUAGAUGCCUUUGGAAGAUCAACUGAGUAGAUUUCAGUGUACAGCAAGCACACUGUGUUGGGUGCUCAGCCACUCGAGAAUAUUUACAUCCUAACGAGUACAGCUCCAGGCUGGAGGUCAUAAUCUGAAGGCCCAUUUCUUUUCUGUGGAUUUGGACAUCAGUGCUGUGAGACAAUGAACCCUGAGGUGUUCAGGUGCCAUCCACGGGCUAAUAGCAUCAGCUGGUCUCCUGGAAGGAGAAGGAGGGUUCUUCAAACUGCAAGACCUCCAUGACCAGCAGCUGUUAUAAAAUGAUUCUUGUUUUUAGGAGAUUUAGGCCUUUUGACCAGGCUGUCAUGAAAUGCUAUGAAGCAGCAGUACUUCAGAAAUGGCUACAGGAUGUGCCCUAGCAGUGGCCCAGCGCUAGUGGUGGAGCCUGUGUGGAAAUGGGUGACCUGCCACAAACUUGUCAGGUUGCCAGGGCUUCGUCUAUCCCAUUGAAUAG